UACGAAGGGGCUAGCGUUGCUCGGAAUCACUGGGCGUAAAGGGUGCGUAGGCGGGUCUUUAAGUCAGGGGUGAAAUCCUGGAGCUCAACUCCAGAACUGCCUUUGAUACUGAAGAUCUUGAGUUCGGGAGAGGUGAGUGGAACUGCGAGUGUAGAGGUGAAAUUCGUAGAUAUUCGCAAGAACACCAGUGGCGAAGGCGGACUCACUGGCCCGAUAACUGACGGCUGAGGCACGGAAAGCGAUGGGGAGCAAACAGGGAAUUAAGAAACCCC
This 272-nucleotide ribosomal RNA is filed under the name uncultured bacterium. Its description in RNAcentral is "partial 16S ribosomal RNA". It matches the Rfam family "Bacterial small subunit ribosomal RNA", at positions 524 to 788 of the family's 1533-position model. The record is from RNAcentral.